ACGUAUGGUGCAAGCGUUAUCCGGAUUUACUGGGUGUAAAGGGAGCGCAGGCGGAAGGCUAAGUCUGAUGUGAAAGCCCGGGGCUCAACCCCGGUACUGCAUUGGAAACUGGUCAUCUAGAGUGUCGGAGGGGUAAGUGGAAUUCCUAGUGUAGCGGUGAAAUGCGUAGAUAUUAGGAGGAACACCAGUGGCGAAGGCGGCUUACUGGACGAUAACUGACGCUGAGGCUCGAAAGUGUGGGGAGCAAACAG
This 251-nucleotide ribosomal RNA is filed under the name uncultured bacterium. RNAcentral describes it as "partial 16S ribosomal RNA". It matches the Rfam family "Bacterial small subunit ribosomal RNA", at positions 525 to 775 of the family's 1533-position model. The record is from RNAcentral.